AGUGGUCGAUAACGAUCUACCCCGUUAAUGGAUAACUGUAGUAAUUCUAGAGCUAAUACAUGCCUCGAAUCCGUGACCCGCGAGGGAAUCGGUGCACUUAUCAGUACAAGACCAACCGGGCGGCUCACGCUGCCCGAUCAUGUCGUGUUGACUCUGGAUAAUUUCUACAGAUCGCAGUCGGCCUUGUGUCGGCGACAGUUCUUUCAAAUGUCUGCCCUAUCAACUUACGAUGGUAGGUAACCUGCCUACCAUGGUGAUAACGGGUAACGGGGAAUCAGGGUUCGAUUCCGGAGAGGGAGCCUGAGAAACGGCUACCACAUCCAAGGAAGGCAGCAGGCGCGCAAAUUACCCACUCCCGGCGCGGGGAGGUAGUGACAAAAAAUAGCGAUGCGGGGCUCUAUGGGGAUCCGUACUCGGGAUGAGUACAGGCUAAAUACUUUAACCAGGAUCCAAUGAAGGGGGCGUGUAAUGCUACCAGA
This 479-nucleotide ribosomal RNA is filed under the name Diplostamenides sciaenae. RNAcentral describes it as "bacterial SSU rRNA". It matches the Rfam family "Eukaryotic small subunit ribosomal RNA", at positions 111 to 574 of the family's 1831-position model. Lineage: Eukaryota; Metazoa; Platyhelminthes; Monogenea; Mazocraeidea; Microcotylidae. The record is from RNAcentral.